Molecule: ribosomal RNA, 253 nt
Filed under: uncultured bacterium
Lineage: Bacteria
Description: partial 16S ribosomal RNA
Rfam family: Bacterial small subunit ribosomal RNA
Source: RNAcentral
UACGAGGGGGGCUAGCGUUGCUCGGAAUGACUGGGCGUAAAGGGCGCGUAGGCGGUUGUUACAGUUGGGCGUGAAAUUCCAGGGCUUAACCUUGGGACUGCGUUCAAUACGUGAUGACUUGAGUUCGGAAGAGGGUCGUGGAAUUCCCAGUGUAGAGGUGAAAUUCGUAGAUAUUGGGAAGAACACCGGUGGCGAAGGCGGCGACCUGGUCCGAAACUGACGCUGAGGCGCGAAAGCGUGGGGAGCAAACAGG